Long non-coding RNA from Lathyrus oleraceus (garden pea), 454 nucleotides. RefSeq lists it as uncharacterized. The record is from RefSeq and is a predicted model, not a curated record. Lineage: Eukaryota; Viridiplantae; Streptophyta; Magnoliopsida; Fabales; Fabaceae. The transcript is spliced from 2 exons.
UAAUGGCUAGGCUGGUUUAAUGGAGUGCCUUGCUCAUGCCUCCCCCUUUUGGAACUUAAUGCAGGAUGAUACUGAUGACUGCAGAAAUAAUACCAUUUUGUUAGGUCAAUACCAUGGGCCAUGUUGUUAAGAUUGGGGGCUAGAAGGAUGCUUAAGUCAUGGCUUGCUCAAGCUUAACCAUGUUCAUGGCAUGUUGGCAACAAAAUGGAAAAUCAAGUCCAAAUGGCUAAAUCAAGAUCAAAACUGGAAAUGGAGAAUGAAAACAGAACUAGGAUUAGACAUUUAGUGGUUUAGGAUGGAAAAGAAUUUGGGUUGACUUUGGUCAAAGUUGACCAAAAAGUCAAUUGUUGACCAAAGUCAACAUUUGGUCAACAUGUAAUUUCUUGUAUUUUUUAUGUAAUGAAACAUUUUAUGGAGGAAAAAUCAAUGGAAUUGGUUAAUUUAACAACAUGAA